CUAGUUUUAUUUGAGGGAUCAAAUGCAAAAUUGCAAACUGUACAAAUAACACUAAUCUAACAAAUGAAAGAACAUUAAAUGCCUAAUAACAAAGAUCGUUAAACCUUUAGGAAAGGAAAAAAAAGUUGCACAAACCAGUCUCCCAUUGACCAAAUGAGAGACCUAGCAAAGCGAACUAAUAUGUUGCCUAACCCCCAAGCCUAAUUCAGAUUUCCUGUAGAAACAUAUUACAGUUUAGAAAACAUUUCAAGACUGAACAACUAAAUCAGAUACAGAAAGCUGCAAGUUCUAAGCAAGAUCUCAGUUAUUAUCUUCCAAUCAAUCAAAUCACUAUUCAGAUUAUAUGCUGCCAGCACCACCAACAUUAGCUCCUAAACAGACAUGUGCCUGGGAACUAGCACAACCUAGUUUUAGCUCCAGAUUAUAUGCUGCCAGCACCACCAACAUUAGCUCCUAAACAGACAUGUGCCUGGGAACUAGCACAACCUAGUUUUAGCUCCAACCUGGUUAUCUGACAGAAUCAGUUACCCGCCAAAGACAAACUUUUCAGACAAACAUUUGGUUUAUUGUUACUUGCAGUAUCUUCUGACAGACACCCCUUGUCCUCAGUGCACAGGCCUCAGUGCAAUCAGGGUCCACAACACAUAAUGCAUUAAUGAAAACCAGCAUUUCCACAUUUGUUUACCAGAUGAUUUCACCACAUUCUCAUAUCUGAACUAUCUUCACAUAUAACGAACCCCUCUCUUACAUCAAAAGUAUAUUGCAAAAGAAGGAAUACAAUUAUAUCAAGUGGGAACAGAUGGAAAAGAUCAAAAGUGGAGUUGAAUUUGCUCUUAUGUCCACUUAGAUCUAUAAGUUUCAUAUCUCUGACAAUACCAUCAAACUCAUGGUCAAAGCAUGGAUUGGAACUAGGUAGAAAAAUUGGUACAAGAAACUCAGACCAAAUAGAGUUGUGCAUGCAAUGGUCAAGGUAAUAAGAUUUUCUUUUGCGUGACGAGAAGGAAUCUUAUAGAA
RNAcentral lists this long non-coding RNA (1014 nucleotides) under Carica papaya (papaya). RNAcentral describes it as "long non-coding RNA (CPAP_LNC000193)". The record is from RNAcentral. Lineage: Eukaryota; Viridiplantae; Streptophyta; Magnoliopsida; Brassicales; Caricaceae.